UCCUCGAUAGCUCAGUCGGUAGAGCGCCGGACUGUUAAUCCGUAGGUCCCCGGUUCGAGCCCGGGUCGAGGAGCCA
RNAcentral lists this transfer RNA (76 nucleotides) under Ramlibacter terrae. Its description in RNAcentral is "Ramlibacter sp. H242 tRNA-Asn". It matches the Rfam family "tRNA". Rfam says of the family: Transfer RNA (tRNA) molecules are approximately 80 nucleotides in length. Their secondary structure includes four short double-helical elements and three loops (D, anti-codon, and T loops). Further hydrogen bonds mediate the characteristic L-shaped molecular structure. tRNAs have two regions of fundamental functional importance: the anti-codon, which is responsible for specific mRNA codon recognition, and the 3' end, to which the tRNAs corresponding amino acid is attached (by aminoacyl-tRNA synthetases). tRNAs cope with the degeneracy of the genetic code in two manners: having more than one tRNA (with a specific anti-codon) for a particular amino acid; and 'wobble' base-pairing, i.e. permitting non-standard base-pairing at the 3rd anti-codon position. Lineage: Bacteria; Pseudomonadati; Pseudomonadota; Betaproteobacteria; Burkholderiales; Comamonadaceae. The record is from RNAcentral.